CAACAUGUGCAGCGGAUAUAGGAAUAUGCCUUCGGUUGCUGUCUGAGUGCAGGGAUAUUCCCAUUUUGGGAGUUUGUCUUGGACACCUGGCUUUGGGUUAUGUGCAUGGUGCUCAGAUUGUCCAUGCACCUGAAACAGUCCAUGGACGCAUGAGUGAAAUUGAGCAUGAUGGGUGCAGACUCUUCAAUAACAUCCCUUCUGGCAAAAAAUCUGGAUUUAAGGUUGUCCGAUAUCAUUCUCUUAUUAUAGAUGCACGAUCACUCCCGAAG
RNAcentral lists this unclassified non-coding RNA (269 nucleotides) under Hevea brasiliensis (rubber tree). Lineage: Eukaryota; Viridiplantae; Streptophyta; Magnoliopsida; Malpighiales; Euphorbiaceae. The record is from RNAcentral.